CUUGCACCUGCUUCGUCAGGACCCCUGACAUAGUCUAGGCUCAAGUUUGGAUAAAGGCUCCUUUGCUCUUGCAUUGGACUCUGCUCCCUGGUGGUCCUUGGGGACUUUGCGAUCUGGGCAUAACACCAGCAACAUGACAGGGUCUUGCUCUAUUGCUGGGCUUAGAGUACAGUGGUAACAUCACAGCACACGGCAGCCUCAAACUCCUGGGCUCAAAUCAUCCUCCUGCUCAGCCUCCCAAGUAGCUGGGACUACAGGUUACUACUUUGAGGAACAUCUUCUGUAUCAACCCUCGACCGGAUUCCUGAUUACCACCUUAGGAUACACUCCUUUGUGAGGAAUUACUAGGUCAACGGGAAUAAACAUUAAAAAUUAUAGUUUUUAUUAAUAAAACUCUUAAGAGUGUAUUUUCUCAUAAAAAGAGACUACAGUGUACCCCCACGAAGCUGUGAGAAUGGCAGAACUCUCCACACGUAACAAUCCUGUCCAGGCUUCUGCACUACAAGAUGAUCACAUUUUCCUGGCAUGGUCAGACCAGCAUGACGGCCACGUGCCUCGGAGGACCCUUCUCGUAAGAUGCCUGCCUGAGCAAGUUCAGCCCUGCCAGGAGAACUGGCUGGCUGCUCCAGCCAACACCUGAUGACAGCACAGGCCAACAGACAGUGACCUUUUCUUAGAGCAUUUACUACAAAGCGCUAACAUUUGUGACUCUUUCCUCUGUCCCACUGAGAUUUGUAUGUGUGUAUCUUCUGCAACGCAGGAGCCUCUUUCUCAAAGAGCAGAAAGCCAUUCCUUUGCAAGGAUAUGGCCUUGUCUCCCGGUCUCUGUGGAAGGAUAGAAUCCUAACUUUGAUUAAGUGCUGGCUAGCAGACACUGCUGGCCUAAUUGCAUUCGCACCGACUGACCCUUUAUAACUUUUCACUUGAGUCCUGAAUAUUCUCUUUCCUACUCCCUCGAGGUUCUUUAUGAACUGUCAUCUUUUCUCACUGCUUUGUUUACUGCAGUUCAAUUUAUAAUCGCCAAAAUGUGGAAACAACCUAAAUGCCAACCAACCCAGGAAUGGAUUAACUGUGGUAUUAUAUGUAUACCAUGAAAUACUAUUCAGCCAUAAAAAGAUGGGGACUUUACAUCUUUUAUAUUAAACUGGAUGGAAUUGAAACACGUUCUUCUUAGUAAAGUUUCACAAGAAUGGAAAAGCAAAUAUCCAGUGUACUCAAUACUAAUAUGAAGGCAGUAGAUGAUCUAAUACACACCCACACAAGAGAAAAACUCAAAUCAACUCAAAUGGAGACGGAGGGGGAUGUGUGUACUCCCACUGAAUGGGCACAAUGUUAGGGCAUAUGGCUCGCCUCUUGGGGGCAGGACACAGUUAUAAGAGGGACUUUACCUAACAAAUACAAACACUGUAACCUAAUUCUUUGUACUCUCAAUUAACCUGAAACAAUAAAAAAAGAAAAAGAUACCAUUAUCUCUGCACAAAGGAGCCAGGAGCUACCUGGCUCCUUCUCCCACUGCCAGUGUUACUGAAUAAAAUGU
This is a long non-coding RNA of Nycticebus coucang (slow loris), 1536 nucleotides long. RefSeq lists it as uncharacterized. The record is from RefSeq and is a predicted model, not a curated record. The transcript is spliced from 3 exons. NCBI's taxonomy places the organism in Eukaryota, Metazoa, Chordata, Mammalia, Primates, Lorisidae.